GGGUUGUGAGGUUAAGCGACUAAGCGUACACGGUGGAUGCCCUGGCAGUCAGAGGCGAUGAAGGACGUGCUAAUCUGCGAAAAGCGUCGGUAAGGUGAUAUGAACCGUUAUAACCGGCGAUGUCCGAAUGGGGAAACCCAGUGCAAUUCGUUGCACUAUCGUUAACUGAAUACAUAGGUUAACGAGGCGAACCGGGGGAACUGAAACAUCUAAGUACCCCGAGGAAAAGAAAUCAACCGAGAUUCCCCCAGUAGCGGCGAGCGAACGGGGAGCAGCCCAGAGUCUGAAUCAGCUUGUGUGUUAGUGGAACGGUCUGGAAAGUCCGACGGUACAGGGUGAUAGUCCCGUACACCAAAAUGCACAGGUUGUGAACUCGAAGAGUAGGGCGGGACACGUGGUAUCCUGUCUGAAUAUGGGGGGACCAUCCUCCAAGGCUAAAUACUCCUGACUGACCGAUAGUGAACCAGUACCGUGAGGGAAAGGCGAAAAGAACCCCGGCGAGGGGAGUGAAAAAGAACCUGAAACCGUGUACGUACAAGCAGUGGGAGCACCUUCGGGUGUGACUGCGUACCUUUUGUAUAAUGGGUCAGCGACUUAUAUUCUGUAGCAAGGUUAACCGUAUAGGGGAGCCGCAGGGAAACCGAGUCUUAACUGGGCGUUAAGUUGCAGGGUAUAGACCCGAAACCCGGUGAUCUAGCCAUGGGCAGGUUGAAGGUUGGGUAACACUAACUGGAGGACCGAACCGACUAAUGUUGAAAAAUUAGCGGAUGACUUGUGGCUGGGGGUGAAAGGCCAAUCAAACCGGGAGAUAGCUGGUUCUCCCCGAAAGCUAUUUAGGUAGCGCCUCGUGAACUCAUCUUCGGGGGUAGAGCACUGUUUCGGCUAGGGGGUCAUCCCGACUUACCAACCCGAUGCAAACUACGAAUACCGAAGAAUGUUAUCACGGGAGACACACGGCGGGUGCUAACGUCCGUCGUGAAGAGGGAAACAACCCAGACCGCCAGCUAAGGUCCCAAAGUCAUGGUUAAGUGGGAAACGAUGUGGGAAGGCACAGACAGCCAGGAUGUUGGCUUAGAAGCAGCCAUCAUUUAAAGAAAGCGUAAUAGCUCACUGGUCGAGUCGGCCUGCGCGGAAGAUGUAACGGGGCUAAACCAUGCACCGAAGCUGCGGCAGCGACACUAUGUGUUGUUGGGUAGGGGAGCGUUCUGUAAGCCUGCGAAGGUGUGCUGUGAGGCAUGCUGGAGGUAUCAGAAGUGCGAAUGCUGACAUAAGUAACGAUAAAGCGGGUGAAAAGCCCGCUCGCCGGAAGACCAAGGGUUCCUGUCCAACGUUAAUCGGGGCAGGGUGAGUCGACCCCUAAGGCGAGGCCGAAAGGCGUAGUCGAUGGGAAACAGGUUAAUAUUCCUGUACUUGGUGUUACUGCGAAGGGGGGACGGAGAAGGCUAUGUUAGCCGGGCGACGGUUGUCCCGGUUUAAGCAUGUAGGCUGGUUGUCCAGGCAAAUCCGGAUAAUCAAGGCUGAGGUGUGAUGACGAGGCACUACGGUGCUGAAGUAACAAAUGCCCUGCUUCCAGGAAAAGCCUCUAAGCAUCAGGUAACAUCAAAUCGUACCCCAAACCGACACAGGUGGUCAGGUAGAGAAUACCAAGGCGCUUGAGAGAACUCGGGUGAAGGAACUAGGCAAAAUGGUGCCGUAACUUCGGGAGAAGGCACGCUGGUGUGUAGGUGAAGUCCCUGCGGAUGGAGCUGAGACCAGUCGAAGAUACCAGCUGGCUGCAACUGUUUAUUAAAAACACAGCACUGUGCAAACACGAAAGUGGACGUAUACGGUGUGACGCCUGCCCGGUGCCGGAAGGUUAAUUGAUGGGGUUAUCCGUAAGGAGAAGCUCUUGAUCGAAGCCCCGGUAAACGGCGGCCGUAACUAUAACGGUCCUAAGGUAGCGAAAUUCCUUGUCGGGUAAGUUCCGACCUGCACGAAUGGCGUAAUGAUGGCCAGGCUGUCUCCACCCGAGACUCAGUGAAAUUGAACUCGCUGUGAAGAUGCAGUGUACCCGCGGCAAGACGGAAAGACCCCGUGAACCUUUACUAUAGCUUGACACUGAACAUUGAGCCUUGAUGUGUAGGAUAGGUGGGAGGCUUUGAAGCGUGGACGCCAGUCUGCGUGGAGCCAACCUUGAAAUACCACCCUUUAAUGUUUGAUGUUCUAACGUUGGCCCCUGACCGGGGUUGCGGACAGUGUCUGGUGGGUAGUUUGACUGGGGCGGUCUCCUCCCAAAGCGUAACGGAGGAGCACGAAGGUUAGCUAAUCCUGGUCGGACAUCAGGAGGUUAGUGCAAUGGCAUAAGCUAGCUUGACUGCGAGCGUGACGGCGCGAGCAGGUGCGAAAGCAGGUCAUAGUGAUCCGGUGGUUCUGAAUGGAAGGGCCAUCGCUCAACGGAUAAAAGGUACUCCGGGGAUAACAGGCUGAUACCGCCCAAGAGUUCAUAUCGACGGCGGUGUUUGGCACCUCGAUGUCGGCUCAUCACAUCCUGGGGCUGAAGUAGGUCCCAAGGGUAUGGCUGUUCGCCAUUUAAAGUGGUACGCGAGCUGGGUUUAGAACGUCGUGAGACAGUUCGGUCCCUAUCUGCCGUGGGCGCUGGAGAAUUGAGGGGGGCUGCUCCUAGUACGAGAGGACCGGAGUGGACGCAUCACUGGUGUUCGGGUUGUCAUGCCAAUGGCACUGCCCGGUAGCUAAAUGCGGAAGAGAUAAGUGCUGAAAGCAUCUAAGCACGAAACUUGCCCCGAGAUGAGUUCUCCCUGAGACUUUAAGUCUCCUGAAGGAACGUUAAAGACGAUGACGUUGAUAGGCCGGGUGUGUAAGCGCAGCGAUGCGUUGAGCUAACCGGUACUAAUGAACCGUGAGGCUUAACCUUACAACGCCGAAGAUGGUUU
RNAcentral lists this ribosomal RNA (2930 nucleotides) under Klebsiella pneumoniae. RNAcentral's name for it is "bacterial LSU rRNA". It matches the Rfam family "Bacterial large subunit ribosomal RNA". The record is from RNAcentral. Lineage: Bacteria; Pseudomonadati; Pseudomonadota; Gammaproteobacteria; Enterobacterales; Enterobacteriaceae.